Eptesicus fuscus (big brown bat) is the source of this 433-nucleotide long non-coding RNA. RefSeq lists it as uncharacterized. The transcript is spliced from 3 exons. The record is from RefSeq and is a predicted model, not a curated record. NCBI's taxonomy places the organism in Eukaryota, Metazoa, Chordata, Mammalia, Chiroptera, Vespertilionidae.
CAGAGUUCCCCGGAGAAGGAUGUAGAGAGACCAAGAAGUCAGGACAGCCGGCUGAUUCUGCAUGUUGGUCUUCCUAGAGCAAAACUGAUUAUCUCACUUCUCACAUCUCAAUCUCCUGUUAGUUCAUCCCCCUGGAAUGAGAGAAUAUAGUUGAAAGGCUCAAAACCCAUCAUUUUGUAUAUGAGUAAGCUGAAGCUCAGGGCUUUGAAGUGACUUACCUGAGGACACUGAGUUUGGGAAUGACGGUGCAGGAACCCUAAUCCAGUACUUUCUGCGCUACACAGUUAAAUGUCUACUUCAGGAGCUUAAUGGGUCUUUGUAAAAAAAAAAAACCCUGUUCAUUGAAUAGAAGAAUAAAACAAAUGUAUGAAUGAAUAAAAUAAAGAAUGAGGUACAUCAAGUUGUAGGAGAAGAGAAACUGAAAUUCCUGAGC